UGAUAUUAGAGGUAGAACAAACUAUCUGUACAGAAAGCUAGAUUGUUUUUCUUGUUGUGGUCCUAAAAUGCUUGGCUCCAUAAUGCAGUAAGAGCUCUCUAAUACACCACUAUGGCAGUUUUGACGGUUUCUUGCUUCUUUUAGUUUUUCAUGUCAUCCUCUGAAACAUUGAAUUUCACAUUUAUCAAACAUAGCCUACUACACUGAUUAAUUAAAACAUUCACUCAUUUGUUCAUUCAUGUUUAUUCAAUGCUCUCUACAUGACAGGUACUAGGCUAGUGAUCAACAAUAAAUACAAUAUGAACCCUGCCCUUGGAAGGCUUACAGUGAACAUAUCAACCAAAAAUAAACCAAAGUGUCAAGGUGUACAGUGGAGAGACAGGAAGGAUCAGAUGAUGGGUCUCGAUGUCUUUUGCUUAAAGAGUUGGAGGAAAUAGAAACGACUCCUGGGGACAGAAUUUAGAAG
RNAcentral lists this long non-coding RNA (466 nucleotides) under Equus asinus (donkey). RNAcentral describes it as "lncRNA (ENSEASG00005030560.1)". The record is from RNAcentral. Lineage: Eukaryota; Metazoa; Chordata; Mammalia; Perissodactyla; Equidae.